GAUGAAGAACGUAGCGAAAUGCGAUAAGUAAUGUGAAUUGCAGAAUCCAGUGAAUCAUCGAAUCUUUGAACGCACAUUGCGCCCGCCAGCAUUCUGGCGGGCAUGCCUGUUCGAGCGUCAUUUCAACCCUCGACCUCCCCUUGGGGAGGUCGGCGUUGUGGACCGGCAGCACACCGCCGGCCCUGAAAUGGAGUGGCGGCCCGUCUGCGGCGACCUCUGCGUAGUAAUACAGCUCGCACCGGAACCCCGACGCGGCCACGCCGUAAAACACCCAACUUCUGAACGUUGACCUCGAAUCAGGUAGGACUACCCGCUGAACUUAAGCAUAUCAAUAAGCGGAGGA
Molecule: unclassified non-coding RNA, 343 nt
Filed under: soil metagenome
Description: partial contains 5.8S ribosomal RNA, internal transcribed spacer 2, and large subunit ribosomal RNA
Rfam family: 5.8S ribosomal RNA (bases 1-120)
Source: RNAcentral